RNAcentral lists this microRNA precursor (100 nucleotides) under Loa loa (African eye worm). Its description in RNAcentral is "microRNA mir-598". The record is from RNAcentral. Lineage: Eukaryota; Metazoa; Nematoda; Chromadorea; Rhabditida; Onchocercidae.
UGGUGUAAAAUGAGGUGGUGGUGGUGGUGGUGGUGGUGGCGGACCGCCGCCUCCGCCUCCGCCUCCGCCGCCACCACCACCACCACCACCACUUCCGAUA